GAAAUGCGAUAAGUAAUGUGAAUUGCAGAAUUCAGUGAAUCAUCGAAUCUUUGAACGCACAUUGCGCCCGCCAGUAUUCUGGCGGGCAUGCCUGUUCGAGCGUCAUUUCAACCAUCAAGCCCCCGGCUUGUGUUGGGGACCUGCGGCUGCCCGCAGGCCCUGAAAAACAGUGGCGGGCUCGCUGUCACACCGAGCGUAGUAGCAUACAUUCUCGCUCAGGGCGUGCUGCGGGUUCCGGCCGUUAAACGACCUUCAUAACCCAAGGUUGACCUCGGAUCAGGUAGGAAGACCCGCUGAACGAAAGC
Molecule: unclassified non-coding RNA, 305 nt
Filed under: plant metagenome
Description: partial contains 5.8S ribosomal RNA, internal transcribed spacer 2, and large subunit ribosomal RNA
Rfam family: 5.8S ribosomal RNA (bases 1-105)
Source: RNAcentral